Non-coding RNA from Homo sapiens (human), 102 nucleotides. Lineage: Eukaryota; Metazoa; Chordata; Mammalia; Primates; Hominidae. The record is from RefSeq and is marked provisional.
UUAACAUCUUUUCCAUCAUAAUUCUCAUAGUAAUAAUAGUAAUGUUAAUAUAAUAAUAAUGUUAUUAUUACUGUGAGAAUUAUGAUGGAAAAGAAGUUAUUA